UGUUUUGUUUUAUGUUUUUCCCCUUUACUCAUAUGAUUUUUGUAUUGACAAUGAGUAUACUUUUUGUUUGCAGGAAUGGAUCGUGGCUUUCUGGUUGAUAUGACGGACCCGUAUAAAUCUGAGUUGGAAUUGCCUAUGUGAUAUCAUAUUCUUAUUAUUCAAGGAAAAGGUAACUCGCAAAAAUUCAGCAAUAAACCAACUGUGAACAAUUGACCCAUAAGUGUCAUUCCUACGGACAAGACGAAGUAAUUAGUAAGAUUGGA
RNAcentral lists this long non-coding RNA (263 nucleotides) under Helianthus annuus (common sunflower). Its description in RNAcentral is "hypothetical non coding rna". Lineage: Eukaryota; Viridiplantae; Streptophyta; Magnoliopsida; Asterales; Asteraceae. The record is from RNAcentral.